Molecule: ribosomal RNA, 504 nt
Filed under: Triticum aestivum (bread wheat)
Lineage: Eukaryota; Viridiplantae; Streptophyta; Magnoliopsida; Poales; Poaceae
Description: partial small subunit ribosomal RNA
Source: RNAcentral
AUGCAGCAAGAGUUAGUCCAGCAUGAUGAGGCAGACCUGGUGGCACAAAGCCCAUGCAACCGACCUGAUUCAGUGGACUCUGAGGAGGAAGGAGAUCAUGCCAAUGAAAACGAAGGAAAGGUAACAGAGUUUUCUGACUGGAUCCGUCUGAAACCAAUGGAGAAGUGGUCACUGGUGCAUGACACGAAGGGAGCUAGGUACGGCAUCAUGGGCGCUGAUAUAUCAAAUAUAUACAAGAAUGACCCUGUAUUGAAAGGGAUAACAUGCCUUCCGCUCAGUGCGAUAGUGGAGGUGACAUUUCUGCGCUUGGUAGAGCACUUCAAAAACACAAGUGCUGCAGCAAAUGAAGCAAUUGGCAACCCAUCAAUGAACUUCCCUGAACGGGUCCAGGAUGACAUGAAUUCAAAAAUGCAGAAAUCCAAGAUGCAUUGCGUGAUUUGCCUAGACACCAAAACAAGAAAUGUUUUCCAGGGGAAAGAGUUUCGGAAUUUUACAGUUCAGUAG